RNAcentral lists this long non-coding RNA (624 nucleotides) under Homo sapiens (human). RNAcentral's name for it is "HSALNT0377809". Lineage: Eukaryota; Metazoa; Chordata; Mammalia; Primates; Hominidae. The record is from RNAcentral.
CCACCUCAUCUCAAACUCUCAUAGGUUUUUGGGUAAUGUUGACCCCACCCUCAGGUUUAGGGGUGGGCUCUACUGUCCAGUCAUCAGCAUAUCCCAUUGUUCUGGUCAUUGAGAUUAGCUCUAGAAUAAGCACAGGACCCAACCCAGGCUAGUUUGAAUCAGGCCAGGAGUGUCUUAUUGGUGGGAGGAAAUUUCUCUAUAUCUGCUACUCUUAAUGUUGAGACUUAAGGCCUGGAGGUGCUGCAGCCAUCUUAUAACCAUUAAGGGGCAGCCUGUUCUAAGAAGCCAAAAUAAUAGAAAAGAACAGAGACUGGCGAGAAGAAGAGAAGCAGGGACAUGAAGUGACAGUUUGAAACGUUGCAUCCUGACACAUCUGAAGACAUCCCUCAUGUGCAGACUUUUCAGUAAUGUAAAGUGGAAAGUGGGCAAGGCCAAGGUCAUGCUACAGAAUGUGACUGAGCAACAGGGGGAUCACUUCAGCUGGGAUGGGAAAGGAAAGCCUCCAGGAGGAGUUGACAUCGAAUCACAGUUGAAUCCUAAGAAGUCAGUCUUGCAAAGAUCUAGGAAAGAAACAGCUAAGUUUCUAAGGCUGGAGUGCAAUGGCGCGAUCUCGGCUCUCUGCAA